Molecule: transfer RNA, 76 nt
Filed under: Clostridiales bacterium
Lineage: Bacteria; Bacillati; Bacillota; Clostridia; Eubacteriales
Description: tRNA-Lys
Rfam family: tRNA
About the family: Transfer RNA (tRNA) molecules are approximately 80 nucleotides in length.
Source: RNAcentral
GGAUCAUUAGCUCAGUUGGUAGAGCACCUGACUUUUAAUCAGUGUGUCCCGUGUUCGAGUCACGGAUGGUCCACCA